AGUAAGGAAUAUUGGUCAAUGGACGCAAGUCUGAACCAGCCAUGCCGCGUGGAGGAUGAAGGUCCUCUGGAUUGUAAACUUCUUUUAUCUGGGACGAAAAAAGGGAAUUCUUUCUCGUCUGACGGUACCAGAUGAAUAAGCACCGGCUAACUCCGUGCCAGCAGCCGCGGUAAUACGGAGGGUGCAAGCGUUAUCCGGAUUCACUGGGUUUAAAGGGUGCGUAGGCGGGUAUGUAAGUCCGUGGUGAAAUCUCCGAGCUUAACUCGGAAACUGCCGUGGGUACUGCGUAUCUUGAAUGUUGUGGAGGUGAGCGGAAUAUGUCAUGUAGCGGUGAAAUGCUUAGAUAUGACAUAGAACACCAAUUGCGAAGGCAGCUCACUACACAAAUAUUGACGCUGAGGCACGAAAGCGUGGGGAUCAAA
RNAcentral lists this ribosomal RNA (422 nucleotides) under uncultured Flavihumibacter sp. RNAcentral describes it as "bacterial SSU rRNA". It matches the Rfam family "Bacterial small subunit ribosomal RNA", at positions 353 to 772 of the family's 1533-position model. The record is from RNAcentral. Lineage: Bacteria; Pseudomonadati; Bacteroidota; Chitinophagia; Chitinophagales; Chitinophagaceae.